GAGAGGCCUAGGGUCAGGGCCUUUGUCUGCACAUCCUCACUGGGAUCGGGGUUAGUACCCCUUGGCUGCCCUUAACUUGGAAUAUGUCUUGGUAUCUCUACUCUCGCCAUAGAUUGCAUUGGAGUGGUAAAUUGGAAUUAACUUGCUGGGAUUCCAAUAACAUCUCAAUGGGAUUACAAACAGAACUUUCUGGAUUCAAGGAAGACUAGAAAAGGGAUUAUGAUACCUUGGAUAACUGUACUCAAUAUUUGGAAUUACAAUAUUUGGCGCUCAAUGUGGCCAGAACACACACCUUCACACUGCAAGAAUCAACCAUCAUCUAGGAGACAACCCACUGGGCCUUGCAGGACAAAUUUUAAGGGGAUCACUUCAAGUGUGCGACAGCAGUCCUUUGCCUUCCCCUCUGACUAAGAGGAACAACUCAGGCCCAUCCCGAGGACCUUUUAAUCUUCGGGAAGAGCAAGAGCUUGUCAUAUAGGAUUCACUGCUGGAAGACGAUUUGAGGCCAUGCAACCAUGACUAACCCUGCAGGAGCUACAAAACAAGAAAGGGAGAGAUGUGGGAGACAACUGGAGCAACUCCCCUUGAAUGCAGAACAACUGCUGCUACUUUGAUUAUAGACUGAUCUCCUUAUACUGAUUUGUACAGAGCUGGCUAUGGUAUUUCCUUCUCUCUUCAAUUGACUCUAAGCAUUGCAAAUAAGGCCAGCCAGGUACUGGUAUGUAGUCUCUAAAGCCAUCAGACAGUCUCCUGUUCCCUUGAGUAGUGUUCUCUAUAAAAGAUGUGGGCACAGCUGGAUGGCAGAGCCAGUCAGCUCCAGGCAUGUCAACUGGAUAUUAGCCUCCAGGUAAAGAGGCUAUGAGUCCCCAGGGCACAAAAAUUUAUAUAUCAGAAACAGAAACAACAGCCUCCAAAAACAAUUCAGUUGCUACCUGAAUUGAAUUAUGUAGAUUGAUCAUUUUGCAUGUCUGUCUCACUGCAUUUUGCAGAGAUGCCUUUCUCCCACCUGGCCAGUCAGCUCAAGUUACUCACAUAAUUCCCACCAUCCUCACUGUCACUCAUCCCUGUGCCACCCCCCUUCUCCACAAGAUAAUAAAUUCUGGGAGAGGCCUAGGCCUUUGUCUGCUCAUCCUCAUGGGGAUUGUGUUUAGGGCCCCUUGGCUGCCCUUAACUUGGAAUCUGUCUUGGUGUCUCUGCUCUCACCAUGGAUUGCAUUGCAUUGAUGGUGGUAGAUUGGAAUUAACUUGCUGGGAUUCCAAUAAUGUCUCAAUGGGAUUACAAAUAGAACUUUUUGGAUUGUGAGGAAAACUGGAAAAGGAUUACAAUAUUUGGAUAACUGUACUCAAUAUUUGCGAUUACAGUACCUCGGGUCCAGUUUCAGGUAGAUUUGUCAAGGUUCUCCUCCUCACUUAAGAAGGAAAUGCUAACAAAACCUCCCUCCAGAGCUGGAUGUGGUGGGGCACUUGGGAGGCUGAGGCAGGAGGAUCAUUCGAAAGUUUGAGAUCAGCUUGGGCUACAAAGUGAGCCCAAAUCUAGCCUGAACUGCACAGUGAGACCGUGUCUCACAAAAUUGAAAAAAAAAAACAACUCCCUCCUUUGGGCUCAAGAGGGUUUAGGAGGAAGGCCUUAGAACAAAAUUCAGAGGCUUCUGGAAAGACUUUGCCCAGGCACAGCUCCAGGCCCCCUACCAUGGUCCCGGAGGGGACACACACGUGUGCACACUGCAGCUUCCCUGGCUCCCAGUUUGAGGCUGGAAGUUUCGUGUUACUUCCUCCCCCCCAUGGCACAGGCCCUGGUCCAUCUCCAAUAUGCCAGGGUGCAUGUGCACGCGCACGGGGUGGGUGUACAAGUCUGUGUCUGUGCAAGCCUGUGCCGUUUCCCUCCCCAAGGUGUACCCUGCCUUUCCCUGAAGCCCCAGGACAGAAUGGUGCACCCCAUCUGCUGUCCAGUGGCCUGAAGUGUCCAGACCAAGCCAGCUCUCCACUGACCAGUCACAAAGCUGAAAGCCAGCUUGACCUCCUGUCACCUUGCCAGGGCCAACGUCUAUUAACUGAGCAGCAGCCUCCUAUGGUGGUGACAGAGCAGUGUGACAACCACAAUGACAUGAAGGGCCCAAGAACAGACCACACAAUGCCCAAGAGAGAACCCUGAACCCCAUGAAUGGACUUUAUUUGGAAAAAGGGACUUAGCUGUUGGGCGCAGGCGCUCAACAUACCAUACCCCACCCGGGACUAAGGACCACGCCAGCUUCCGCAAUGCACUACGUCCCUCUCUAAAUUAGCCAACCCGUGCGCACCUCGUGCUCACUCCGUAUUCGCCCCGUGCCGACUCUGUGGCAACUCCUGAUUGGCCACAGCUGGAUAUAGUAGCCAGAGCCUGCGUCCCAUUCCCGCCCUGCUUCCUCGUGGCAGCCUGUGAUUGGUCACGGCCAAAUAUAUAAACCAGAGCCCAUGUAAAUAAAGCAGCAGUUAACUGUCGCCCACAA
Molecule: long non-coding RNA, 2485 nt
Organism: Cavia porcellus (domestic guinea pig)
Lineage: Eukaryota; Metazoa; Chordata; Mammalia; Rodentia; Caviidae
Exons: 3
Source: RefSeq, a predicted model, not a curated record